This is a transfer RNA of Exophiala oligosperma, 96 nucleotides long. It matches the Rfam family "tRNA". From Rfam's summary of the family: Transfer RNA (tRNA) molecules are approximately 80 nucleotides in length. Their secondary structure includes four short double-helical elements and three loops (D, anti-codon, and T loops). Further hydrogen bonds mediate the characteristic L-shaped molecular structure. tRNAs have two regions of fundamental functional importance: the anti-codon, which is responsible for specific mRNA codon recognition, and the 3' end, to which the tRNAs corresponding amino acid is attached (by aminoacyl-tRNA synthetases). tRNAs cope with the degeneracy of the genetic code in two manners: having more than one tRNA (with a specific anti-codon) for a particular amino acid; and 'wobble' base-pairing, i.e. permitting non-standard base-pairing at the 3rd anti-codon position. Lineage: Eukaryota; Fungi; Ascomycota; Eurotiomycetes; Chaetothyriales; Herpotrichiellaceae. The record is from Rfam.
GCCUCUUUAGCCCAGUUGGUAGAGCGCGACACUAGUAUUUCACCAAAAAAUGACAAGUAUAUGUCGAGGUCACUGGUUCGAAUCCAGUAGGAGGCA